CAAGAGCGUAUAUUAAAGUUGCUGCGGUUAAAAAGCUCGUAGUUGGAUUUCAGUCUAGGAAGGUUAACUCGCCGAAAGGUUGUACGUUGAUUUUCAUCAGACUUCGUCAGAAGCUCGUGCUGCACUUAACUGUGUGGUACGAUGUUCUGACCUUUUACCUUGAGGAAAGUAGAGUGUUUCAGGCAGGCUACCCAGCUUGAAUACAUUAGCAUGGAAUAAUGAAAUGGAUCUCGGUUCGAUUUCGUUGGUUCUAGAGCUGAGGUGAUGAUCAAUAGGAACAGGCGAAGGUAUUCGUACUUGAGAGUGAGGAGUGAAAUCCGAUGAUCUCUUAAAGACGAUCCGAGGCGAAAGCAUUUGUCAAGGAUGUUUUCAUUGA
RNAcentral lists this ribosomal RNA (376 nucleotides) under uncultured eukaryote. Its description in RNAcentral is "partial 18S ribosomal RNA". It matches the Rfam family "Eukaryotic small subunit ribosomal RNA", at positions 592 to 976 of the family's 1831-position model. The record is from RNAcentral.